UCCUUCCUUCCUUCCUUCCUUGAAGCUUUGAGAGGGGUUCUGGUCCCAGUCUCCAGCAGUCUGUAUUCUUCUUGUGGAAACAAUAUCCAUAAGAUUCAUUUGUGACUUUUGCUUUUUCCUCUUCAAUUCUAGAAAUCAUACCUUCUACAAUAGCUUGUGAUUUUCUUGGUUUUCUCCGGGUGCACCGGUUUUUUCCCCUCUAAUCUAAAAAAAACUAUGCAUAUUUGGUUACAUGAAGCUUGUACAUCAUGCUUGUGUAAGUAUGUUUUUCUGGGAUUGUUCUCUAUGGCGCCUUGAUUGUCAGGAUGUCCCCAUUCUGCACCCAUUCAUUCAGGGAAUGAAUGAAUGAUUUGUUCAUGGUGGUGGUUUGACCUGGGGGAGGUCCACAUAAUUUUUUCCAUGUUGACAGGAUUGCAACACUCAACGCUAUUGUUGCAUGUUUUUAACUGUGCUAUCUUUUAUCAAAGUUCCAUACUGGGUUGAAACUGCUUCCAGUGUUGCUGCUUGCAUGAUGGGUGGGGUAGGUCAUUGGGGAUGGAGGAGGGGUCGGCAUCAGUCAUGUGGAAGUGGUGGGGGGUUUUGUUGCUGUUCACUCACCUCUGGUCCAAUUGUCUCAUGCUAGUAAAAUGCUAUUAUGUCUGAAAGAUGGUUAGCUCCUUGUUGCAACACGUCAGGGGUCAAAGCCUGGAUGCCCUGUCUGUCCGUUUGCAGGUUUCCUAGGUACUGUAGUUCACUCCCCUAGUUCAAAAAGUAUCUGUGAUAGAUUGAGUAUUGAAUCCUUUCUUCUGUGCGCACACACACACAUAACAUGAAUGUAGGCACAAUAUCUUUUUUAUGCAUGUUUCAAUAUAUUUGGAUGUGUUUAGCUUAAUGUAUGUUUUUUUGAUGUAUUUGUAUGUAUGUGUAUGCAGGUAAGCGUAAUGAUGUAGUUCACAGAAAUAUGUUUUCUGCUUUAUCUGUCUUUGUUGUUCCCAUCGUCGCUGUUAUUUCCUUGAUAACUCUUGUGUCAGCUAAUAUCCAGCUAACAUCAUAACUACAUCCUCUCAAUGUUUUUUGUUUUUUUCAGACUCCAGAUCUUUCUACCCAGUGUUCCUGUGUUUGUCUCUCUUUUCUGUCCUCUCCAACCCCAGCCAGUCGAGGCAGACCGCUGCCCGUCCUGAGCCUGGUUCUGCCAGAGUUUUGUCCUGGUAAAAAGGGUUUUUCUCUCCACUGUCGCCCCGUGCUUGCUCAGGACGGGGGAUUGCAUUAAAGUGAAGCUUUGAUGCAAUCUGCUGGUUUCCUCCCCUCCGUAGAAUCGCCACCUUAACGUGGUGGAGGGGUUUGAGUUACCCCCAUGAUCCUGAGCUCUGAGUUGCCUGGGACUUUGACCUUUGGCGUGGCCACCCAUGGCAAUGUGCCUUCAGAAUAGGGGUGUGGGGUCACACCAAGAGCGAUUCAAAUACUUGGAUGGAGUAAAGCUGUAGAGGUGAACAACAUCUGAAGUCAGUCCCCUCUUUGAAGCAAACCUGGCGAGAGAGCCUUAAAGCAACAGUAACCCCCUUCCACAUGGAUCUACCACAACCAGGAAGGGACAUUCAGUAAGGAUUCGGAGACGCCUGAUAAGGUGACAAGUUACUCCUGAUCUAAUCCGGCUUCUGAAGACUUGCUCUUCAUCCACCCUCGUUGGUGCUACGGCCAGCUGUUGGGUUCCCUUGGAGUCCAGAUAUUCCUUGUCACCCGCCUUUCAUUUUGCUGAUGUUGCUAAAGUUAAUUUGGCCUCCUUAUAGUUUAGUUGUAUUUAUGUUAUUCCAAACUACACAACUGCAAUAUAUGUUAUUAAUAAAGCAUAAUUUCUUAAAUAAAGCUUAUUUAAAUUG
This is a non-coding RNA of Poecilia reticulata (guppy), 1856 nucleotides long. NCBI's taxonomy places the organism in Eukaryota, Metazoa, Chordata, Actinopteri, Cyprinodontiformes, Poeciliidae. The record is from RefSeq and is a predicted model, not a curated record.